This 1216-nucleotide long non-coding RNA is filed under the name Nicotiana benthamiana. RNAcentral describes it as "long non-coding RNA (NBEN_LNC025065)". The record is from RNAcentral. Lineage: Eukaryota; Viridiplantae; Streptophyta; Magnoliopsida; Solanales; Solanaceae.
UAAAUGAAAGAAGUUGAACUAUACUAAUAUGGCUGUCAACCUUAAAUUAGAGUAACUGUUGUGUAAUGAAAGAUUCUGCAAAUUGUCAUUCCAAGAAGAGUUAAGACGCAUGUGCUUGUUGAUUAUUUUAUUGAAAUACUAAAAAUGGUUCCCUAAAGGAUUAGCAUCUCUUUUCACGAAUACUUGUUCUUCAACAAUUCAUCCAAGGAGGAUCACUCGCAUAGCCACUAUUCCAUAAUAUUGAAAUUUACAGAGAGUAACACGUAAGUAAUGCACUUUUCUUCGUCCUAAAUAUAUGCAAAUAUCAGUAACCAAUUAGAAAAAAAAGAGGAAUGUUAAAACAUCCUUGCUUGAUGAGUACUGACCUUCAAAGCAAACAAUGUUCCAACCCAUUUAUGGCGAACAGUUGAACAACACCACCACUUCCCUUUCCGAUGACUUUGAUGGUUUCAAGGUCUUCAAUGAAAACUGAAGAUCUAUCUCCUUAGUUUCUGAGGCCUGUGAACAUUAUGCACAAGAAAUUAAAACAUUUUAUCAAAUCGUAGAAAUGUCCCAUAGUGAAUUUGGAUUUAACCUAAGGAUAUACCCGCUAACUAAUCAAAUAAUUAAUCCUUAGCUGAAUUCAACUUUGAAGAAACAAUACAGAUAAAAAUAUGUGCAAAUAUACAACAGUUAAAUUUUUGAAAUUUCCUAUUCAUAAUGUCAUAGCGACUAGAGAUACACAAAUAACUGAAAAUAAUCAGAGCAACUUAAAAUGGAAUAAUAAUCAAGAUGCCUCAGAUUGGAGUCUCAAUUGAAAAUAAUUGCAAUGUGAAAAUAUAAACUACAAUUAGAAGAUGGGGCAUUGAAAUAAAAGGUCUAUUUAGAAAGAAAAAAGGUUCAAAGUCUCCAGCACGUGGAGCAGAGUGUGAAUACAGUAUUCUUUAACUUGGACAGACUCCUUCUUGCUGCUCCUCAGACAUGCACCUGAAUCAUUUGAAGUUCUCUUGUUUGGGUGUUACUAAUUUAUUACUGCACAAAAUUGCUUGUGUUGAAUCAUCGAGUCUUUCCUUCAAUGAGAGGAGAAAUUUCCAUCAAAAAGCUUACAUCUCAAAAGCACGACAUAGAGAGAAUUGAAUGGGUUGUUACAAAUACACUUUACAUCUCAAAAGCACGACAAGAGGGGUUGCUCUGAUGGUAAGCAACCCCCACUUCCAACCGAGAGGUUGUGAGUUNN